GGAGAGGUCGCAUAGUUGGUCUAGUGCGCAUCUUUGGAGAAGAUGUAUAACCGCAAGGUUAUCGAGGGUUCGAAUCCCUCCCUCUCCG
RNAcentral lists this transfer RNA (88 nucleotides) under Candidatus Woesebacteria bacterium RBG_16_40_11. RNAcentral's name for it is "tRNA-Ser". It matches the Rfam family "tRNA". From Rfam's summary of the family: Transfer RNA (tRNA) molecules are approximately 80 nucleotides in length. Their secondary structure includes four short double-helical elements and three loops (D, anti-codon, and T loops). RNAcentral also lists the same sequence under 3 other names. The record is from RNAcentral. Lineage: Bacteria; Candidatus Woeseibacteriota.